RNAcentral lists this non-coding RNA (30 nucleotides) under Rattus norvegicus (Norway rat). The record is from RNAcentral. Lineage: Eukaryota; Metazoa; Chordata; Mammalia; Rodentia; Muridae.
UAAAUGAUAGGUAAGUUUUGACUGAGAUGC